UGGGAACCUUCCCUAUGGUUCGGAAUAGCUCAGGGAAACUUGGGGUAAUACCGGAUAAGCCCUUCGGGGAAAGAUUUAUCGACAUUGGAUGGGCCCGCGUCGGAUUAGCUAGUUGGUGAGGUAACGGCUCACCAAGGCAGCGAUCCGUAGCUGGUCUGAGAGGAUGAUCAGCCACACUGGGACUGAGACACGGCCCAGACUCCUACGGGAGGCAG
RNAcentral lists this ribosomal RNA (215 nucleotides) under uncultured bacterium. Its description in RNAcentral is "partial 16S ribosomal RNA". It matches the Rfam family "Bacterial small subunit ribosomal RNA", at positions 118 to 351 of the family's 1533-position model. The record is from RNAcentral.